GAUGAACGCUGGCGGCGUGCUUAACACAUGCAAGUCGAACGGAAAGGCCCAAGCUUGCUUGGGUACUCGAGUGGCGAACGGGUGAGUAACACGUGGGUGAUCUGCCCUGCACUUCGGGAUAAGCCUGGGAAACUGGGUCUAAUACCGGAUAGGACCACUUCUUGGAUGUUGUGGUGGAAAGUUUUUUCGGUGUGGGAUGAGCUCGCGGCCUAUCAGCUUGUUGGUGGGGUAAUGGCCUACCAAGGCGUCGACGGGUAGCCGGCCUGAGAGGGUGUACGGCCACAUUGGGACUGAGAUGCGGCCCAGACUCCUACGGGAGGCAGCAGUGGGGAAUAUUGCACAAUGGGCGCAAGCCUGAUGCAGCGACGCCGCGUGGGGGAUGACGGCCUUCGGGUUGUAAACUCCUUUCGCUAGGGACGAAGCGUUUUGUGACGGUACCUGGAGAAGAAGCACCGGCUAACUACGUG
Molecule: ribosomal RNA, 467 nt
Filed under: uncultured bacterium
Lineage: Bacteria
Description: partial 16S ribosomal RNA
Rfam family: Bacterial small subunit ribosomal RNA
Source: RNAcentral